This is a long non-coding RNA of Phragmites australis (common reed), 6657 nucleotides long. RefSeq lists it as uncharacterized. The transcript is spliced from 9 exons. NCBI's taxonomy places the organism in Eukaryota, Viridiplantae, Streptophyta, Magnoliopsida, Poales, Poaceae. The record is from RefSeq and is a predicted model, not a curated record.
GUCCGCUCCGGGUUCGAAGAGAGCGAAAAUAUCGCCCGCCACGACGCGUUCCUCGUCCUCCUCGCCUUCCUCGUCCUCCUCGCCGUCCCAUCCUCUCGAUCUCUCUCUGAAAAAAAAAAAAAUCAUCUCGGUCUCUCCUCUUGUUCUACCCACCGCCGCGGCUCCUCGUGUGCUCCGCGCCGUCGCCGGCUCCAUCCGUUGCCACUGCUCCCUGCGCCUCAUCUUCCGCCGCGGCUCCUUGCCUCCUCUACGCCGUCUGCCAGGCAGCUCCUUCGCCCUUUACCCGACCCGCGUUGCCUUCUUCCCAGCCAGGCCGGUCGCGUGCGUGGUCGUCUUCCUCAUGGACGACGACUCUCCUCAUGGCCAAGAAGAGCAGAGGCAGCUGAGCAGGAAGCUUCUCCGUGGAUCCUCAACUCCGGGCGGCAGCCGCGCGAGCUCGACCCCAAUGUCGAUCUGCCACCAUAGCGCUCCUCCGGCCCAGCCAACCGCAGCACCAGCUUGUCUGCUUGUCGGUGAGCCUCACAGAUGCCUCCUCCCUCUACCUCCUUCUCUGUAGCUCGCGCACGCCAUAGCCUAGCGCCACCGAGUUGCUAUUGCCGUCGCUGCAGCUGCUCCAGCUGUUGCCAAGCUAUGCAUCUGAUAAGUGAUUAAUGGUGGUUAACGAUCUCCAUGUUUCGUUGCUCUCAUGCUAGCUGCUCUGGUCUUGUUCUGGUGCAGCCGUGCGUGCGGUUUAGGAGCUAAUUUGGUCAGCUUUAAGGAAUACUAUUUCCUCGUUUCUUGUGGUUGGUGUACAGAUGGAAGGGCUAAGAGCUGUGUAGGGAAAAAUGAUUGUUUGGUAAGGCCCUAUUAUUCAUUAAUCGUUCAGAAAGUGCGAAAUAUAAGGGAAGCACAUCGUAUGCCUAUCAUGAUUGUUACCAGGUUCUUGCAUCAACUAUAUUCAGUUAAUGAUUAUUCUGACUUUUGAAAUAGAUUAAGCUAUCUCCUCUUUCCCUUUUGUUCUUUUCUUUUUGCAGCCAUGGGAAUAGCAGGCAAGCCUUUCAGGGAAGAUUUAUUUAUUUGAGAGCUUUCUUCUGGUUACAGAACCAUGUUUAAAAUGAAAGCUGAAAAGCAAUUUAUAGCAAGUUGUCAGUAGUGCUGCAUGAGGAAGUAAAAUGGAGAAGUGAGCAAAGCACUAUUUGCCACCCUUGAGGUCAUACUUCCUAUUGCACUUUUCUUUCUGUCUUGAAGCUAAAAUGAAGUAGUCAUAUUAUCUUUUUUGGUUGAAUAUCUUUAGUAAAUGGUACAUAUGCAGUUGUAAAGGUUUGCUGUUAGUUAAAUAUGCACGUACGGCCACAAAAAAUGACUACAUGUCUCUUCUAAUAAGUUUGCACUGAUCUAAUUUCCCAAGACGUGUCUUGAUAUUUAUGCUCUGGUUGUACAAUGUUGCAUGUUUGCCUUAUGUCAUUACAAUGCAAUGGGGAGUAGAGUGUGGUUGUCUUUAGAUGGUUGAUCUAUUGAUCUGUUUUGCUUAAUUCUAUGGUAAUAAAUUUAUCUGUUAUUCUGCUUGUAUGUUGUUUGUUGAUUCAUUCGCUUUAAUUCUUCUGUGUGUUUUUGCUUGGACUUAAUAUUCUUUUUUCCUAAACAAAAAACAGAUGUCGAUAACCAUGUUAAAGGAUCUGAACCCGUAGAGUACGCUUUGGAAUGUUUGUGUGAGGCUGUCGCGUAUGUGGGAUUAUCGUGGAGGAAUAGACGAUGGUGAAAUACGCCAUGUGGACCUUGUUUUGCUGGGUGCUGAGGAUACGAUGAUCAUCAAUUGUUACCAUACCGUAGCUGUAAUUGGGAUGACCACAGAAGUCUGUGAUCUGGCCUCAGUGCACCCUGUGAAUCACGUGUGUCGACAGUUAGAAGGACAAUUACCUUUACGGGAUACAAGCAACUAUGAAAUGAAGCUUAAUAUGUGCGGUCAAAGGGCAUCCUAAUUCAGUGCUGAAGAAAUCUAUGCGAUUGGCCAGAAUAAACCACUAUGGCUAUUUUUGUUGGCACACUAACCAAGUCUUACAGAGCUGAACAAUCACUCAAUGCAAACACAAUGUGUCCAUGGUGCACAAAUACAGGAGCUUCAUGAGUUUUUAGAUAGGCAAUCUUUUCUGUUGUACCUCAUUAGCCUUAAGAUUUUGUUUUUCUAUUCUGAUUUGUGCACUUCCUAGGUUGCAGUAACAAGUAUGCUUUUUCGUAUUGCACCUUACAUGAUAUGUUUGAGCCUAUAAAGCGUAUUGCUACAGCUGAUCAUCCUACUGUCCCUCGUCUGCCAAAUGUGCAACUACAACUGACAACUUUGGAGGAGCUGAAGCGAAUCAGUCCAUAUGAAUUUCCACCUGAAGAUUUUCAUUGCACUGUCACUAUUUCAAGAAUUAUCCCAGGUCAGUCCUGUUGGUAUCCUGCAUGCAACCGUGGCAAGAACUCUUGUCUUCCAGACGGUAUUGGAUAUAAGUGCUCAUAAGAUUGGUGUAUCGGCUACAAAUUUAGGUAAUAAUUAUCUGUGUUAUAAAUAUAUGUUUUGGAUUUCUAUUUUUCCUCAACAAAUGUAAAGGUUGGAUCUUUGUGACAAAUUCCAUUAUUUCUGAUAGGGUGAGUUGAUAUCUAUAUAGUUACAGCUUUGCAACAUGCUUUUGCAUGCCUAUGUUCUUUCAUAUAUGCAGUUCUUUUUUUCGCAUUUUUGGAUGAGUCAUACUCUUAGAUAUUUGAAGAUGAUACAGAGAGAAAUGUAGUACAGUCCUGUAAGCUAUGGUUAUAUCAGGCACCCAAGCUUUUUUUUUUGUUACUGAAAUAGAAGGUUCAGUCAUUUUUCCUGAACUUAGCAUUGUCUUUUCGUGAUUUACGAAUUCUCUUGCUUGCAUCAAACAUUUCACUUUUGUACUAGAUUAUUAGUAUACUCUUCUGACUAUCCAAUACUUUAAAAUAAAUUUGACGUGCCAUUUAAUUCAAUGUUUUGCUCAUAUUGAAACUAUGAUAAAUUUUCGUCUGCGAGUUAUUUAUAUGCAUUACUGGAUAAGAAAUGACCCAUGUGUAUGUGUUUUAUGAUCUUUGAUUAAUCUUUUACAUUGGUUGUUACAUAGUUUUGGAGUUCCCUGGAAAUGAGAUAAAAACCUCUUUGCCAUUUGAUACAUGCAUGUUGACAAUGCUGAAGCUGUCAAUUUUCUUGUGCAAACUUAAAUCAUUCUUCUUUGCUUUUAUCCUGUUGAGAUGGACAACAUGCUCUCAAGAAGGUAUUUGCUUGUAUAGUCACCUAAAAUAUGACCAUCUUUUGCUUCUGCACAACCAUUUCAUAUUAUAUGAUUGCAUUUUUGGUAUGCUUGCCUGUCUGGUGUGCGUGUUAGCCUUCCUUUCGCCUAGAAUCAUAUCAGAGCCUGCUUGGGUCCUGUAAGCUCUUGCAUACUUUACGUAAAAAAAAUUGUUGAGCUAAUGCUCCACUAUAGUGCCUGCCUACUCGAUUUUUGUAAUUUUUAUGUUGUUACAUAUGUGCUGCCCAGAUAUCCGAAGUGAUUCUCUUGUGGUGGGCAAUUCUGAAGUGAUUCUCUUGUAGAGGACAAUAUACUAGCUUUGUUCACUAUGUCUGAAUCUAUAUGUUGUUUCAGUUAGUAGGCUACUUUGUUUACUCUGUUUUUGUAAUAUUCAAAUUUACAAAUUGAUCCUGCCUGCUAUUCCUUGCUUCUUCUUUUUUUUGCAACCAUUGUCAGUUUGAUGAAUUGCUGUUCGGAUAUGUGGGGGUGUUGCUGUUAAUGCAUGCAGUUUACACACUUUCGAAUUUGUACAUUUGAAUUUGUUAGCAGGAAUGUGGAACUAAGAUUUAAAGUGGUAGCUAUCGACUAUUGUGGAGUUAGUAUGUAGUUAUCUAGCGUUUAUUGUACCAGAUUCAUUUUAGUUCGCUUCAUAAUGGCAUCCUGGUUCUUUUACUCAAACUUUGUACAGUGUUCUAAUAGUUCAUUUGUGUUGCACAUGCAAACAUGAAACUGGAACACAUUAAAUGUCACCUUUGCUCAAGAGUUAUGUUUAAAUUCCUAGCAGUUUAGUUUCUUCUGCCACUCUUUAUUCGGUUUUUAGGUAGUCCUUUACCGUUGGCUGAUCAAAUCUAUCAGUUAUUUCUGGCUUAUCAGCUGAUGGUCAUGCUGAAAAUAACAGGCCUAUUAGUUAUAUGCUCUUCUUCAUUGCUUCCUCUGUUUCUUCCUUCGUUUCUUUCUCGGUAUAUGUCAAUACAGGAUAUUUAGGCGAUUUCGCUUCACUUCUGUGUUUGCUUGCUGCUAUUUUUUGUACUUUGAUCUCUAAUAUAAUUUCAUGCUAUCUCAUGAUGUGGAAAAAUUUCUUUGGUUAAUUCCCAUCCUGAAACCAGGGAAGGUAUGGCUCGAUAGAUUAUCUAUUUAUCCCUGUUUAUUUUUAAUUCAAUGUAUGCAAGCUGUAGUAGAUUCUCAAUGUGUUGUCCUUAUUCAUUUUUCUUGGCUAAAUAGGCCCAGCCAUGGCCGUACCAAGUUAAUAAUGUUGUCUGUUCUUAUGCAAGGCAACAUUCCAUCCGAAUCAUCAUUAAGACUGUAAUUUGAUGAUGGAUUUGCUUACUACAGUGGUUGGAAGGUUAAGAGUUUUGAAUGUGGUUGGUGUUUCUAUGGUUUCCAGAAACAUACGAAGUGAACAUUUGGUUAUGCUUCUCAGCCUGACCACUACGAAAAAAAAUUCGCCCAUGGUUAUGCUACGAGCUCUGCAUUUUUCUUGCAAAGCGAUAAAUGUUGCAGCUUUUUAAAGUCGUACUUUCGGACUCAGUUGCGGUGAGUUCUCCGGUUAUGCGCCAAUAAUUCACUCAUUUUUCUGGGAAAUGGUUAACCUUGGUCCAGAUGCUCUAUGAGCCAUUUGAUUUUUGCACUCGCUCCAUCCUACCUUUUUCAAUCUAUAAAUAUGCAGAUAGCUGAAUACAGUAUGGAAUAUAAGACUCGAGCUUAGUUUGUAAUAAUUAGUUGCGGGAGACCGUAUGUAUCUAAAACUAUUUGAGCCUUUGAACUGAUGGUGAGCAAUGCUCACUGCUGCUAGCUUGCAUAGCUUUUUGGUGCCUUCUUGCUCUGUUCGGAAUAUGACCAUAUUCUAUUUUAUAUCCAUGAUUGUCUUAGGUCUAAAUUCAUAUAUAUAUAGCUCUAUGAUCAGCAUAGCUCCAGAGGAAAAAUAUUAAUGCUUUUUCCUCUGCAAAAUUGUCUCUUAAGAUGAUUCUUUGCCUACCGGACUAACCCAAGUUCAAAACGCCGUCUAUUGUAUAAUUGGGAGCCUUAGCAACACUCUACUGGCUGCAGAGAAAGACGCUGCAUACCAUGCACUUCUUUUCCUGCAACAGACAACAAACCUCCAAGUACGUGACUACAACUACCUCUUACUUACCAAGCUCAGGCAGAUCAUCAGACGAAUUUUGGCUCAGCAGCUUACCAUAGCGAAUGAAAUUCAGACAUUGCUUAAUGCUUGGGAGAAAAGACUAUCCAGUUAUAUGCAUCGUCAAGCAAUGUGGAAGAUACCUUGUUAUCCUAUUUCUCUCCAGACCCUACCGGCCCUUACUCAGGUGAAAUCCACACUAUGCUUUCUCAUAUUAAGCAACUCGCACGAUCUGUACAAAAUUCCUCUCGCGCCUCACUUGCAAAGGUCAAACAGUUCGAGCAACAAUACUUCAAUCUCUAUAGAUGUUUAUCUUCAGACAAUAACUCUGUUGCUUUCCAAACGCCAGGUCUAUUUCGUCUCUUUGAAUGUUUUACCUGCUUGCUAUAAAAACUUUCACUGUACCAUUUCCCUUCACUUCUUUUUAGCUUACAUGCUCUGCACCAUGACUAAAUAUAUAACCCUGCCUGUUCCUGCAGAGCUACAUCGCAUGCCGUCGUCACUCUCUCUCCAAAGUUUAUGCUCACUGAGAUGCUGACAGUACUUCAGCUUCCCAUGCCAACAUACACUCGCAUCAAAACAUAUGAAGAUGAAUAUGCCAGCUGCAUCGAAUUUUAUCCCAAUAUCAAUUUAUUCAUCCACGAUGGGCCACGACAAAAAAUCUGUGGUUUCGCACCAGCUUCAGAACAGACUGCUGAAGAAGCGGCUCCUCUCCAAGCGAUUGCAUAUAUGGAAUCAGAAACACACAUACAGCUCCGACAUUUCAACUACCUUGUGGAGGAAAGUGCAUUAGAUGAGCAUAGGUCUUCGAUAAAGAAGACAGAGAAGCAGACGAAGGCAAUGGGAAUUUAUCUCUAAAAAUUGGAACACUGCCAUGAAUGAAAUUGCAGCGGCUUGUGAUCUAUUCGAUUCUGAUUUCUUCUGCGAGCUGAACUGCAAUUCUGAAAUAACUUCACAAUCAGGCGUCUUGUUUGUUAUCAAGCAUAUGGAAUCAGUCAUGGCAGAAAUACGCGGGUCUCUUCAACAAGCGGCACACACCUUCCAUGAGCAUGGUGUCUGCCCAUUCAGUGCAGCUAUCGAAUAAUAGCUUCACCAUGUCGCUGGCCAAACCAGUUCCUAUCACAUACAUAUGAAGCCUCUUUGCUAUUCUAUACAUCUUUAAUUCCCUGAACUCAGACCAGCACUUUAUAAUGACAUCUCAAUGUAAAUAGUUGCCUUAACCUGUGGUUGUACAAGUCAUCUUUCCCCUAAUAUAUCUUGCCAUCCUCCCUUGCAUUA